UUAUAAGUUUAUAUUAAGGAUGGGGUUAUAUUCACUCUAAUUACUACUCGAAACACUUGUUUACUCUCUACACUCGUAUUUAAAAUUUACAAAUCAAAAUUUUACUCUUACCACCAUUUAUAAUUCUAAAUAUAAUACCGUUUCUAAUUUGCACAGUUUGAAAAGGACCGUUAUCUGUUUUUCUCACUCGGGUGGUUUGGAGAAGAGCUGUCAAAUUUCACACUUGAAAUAAUUUAUGGGCAGUUAGCUCUAGUAAUUAAUAAUCUACUCAACUCAUUUUGUUAUUGCAUCUCAACCGAAAUUUUCAUCUGUGCUAAGCAUUGAAGCCAUCCUAUUGUCGUGAUUUUUCUUAGUAUCGCUCCUAAGCAUUCUCAUUGGAAACACUUUCAAACUCACAAAUUCCUCAUCAACUUUGCUAAUAUCCAAACUUUUUUUUUAAAAAUAAACAUACCCUUUCGUGGAUUUAUUAAAACUUAGUAUUGAGUGUUAAUGGUUUGUAGAAGAAAAUGUUGGUAAGGAAAAUGAGGGUAAAAUUGUCUCAUCGUAUCCUUGUAUUUCUCUCCUAAUAUUUAAGCAGUGAAUCUAAUAAGUCUAUAUCAAUAAUUUAAUUUAAGAAUAUUUACAUGAUGAAAAUUUUAACUAAAUUUGAGAAUGCAUAGACGCUCGUCCCGAUUACUGUUUAUUAAAAGCUCCAUGUCCAAAAAAUUUUGACUCCCACGAUAAUUAUUUUAAUAUUUCAACUUGCAUCUCCGCCUUCGGCUUCGAGAAUAGAAUACAAUUAUUGAUCUCCAUGAUUAGUUUAAACUUAUACCUAGUUAAUAUUUCAAUACGGCUUUAGCCCCCACAAAUCUUUCACCGGCACGUAAUCAAAUCAAUGAUUAAGGCUUACGUUGUGGCCACCCAACAAACACGUAUUAUUCUUUUUAAUGUUAAAAACUCAUAUUACGUUGCUUACCCGAAUCUCGGCUAGCUUUCUUGAUUGAUGCGAAAAAUAUUGAUUAUUGUGCCACGUAACGCAUGUCUAACAAGUAAAGCCAUUGUUUAUAAGUAACCUCUUGUCCCAUGAUUAAGAUUGAAGGAGUAAAACUUAUCAAAAAUUAUAAUCUAAAUCAAAUCAGGACCCAUCACGGCCGACCAAAUGCCCAUCACGGCACCACCCUUUUGUGGACCGAUUCUCAUGUGAUAAUAAAAAAUAAUUUUAAAAAACAUAUAAGAUUCACGUACCAAAAUCCGAUGCCAUUAACGUGUCACUUUCUUAAAGAUUUUUUUAUUGUUUUCGCAAAUUUGCAAGCCUUCAUUCAUCAGUUUAUUUCAACGGAUAAGCAUUGAGAUAUGAGUAGUCAAAAUAGAUAUUUUUAACGAAUAGUCAAAAAAAUUAUGAUUAGAAACAGACAGUGUUGAUUCAAUCGAUCUUCCCACGUCAUCAAGUAACUGUAGCCUUUAAAAUUAGAUCUCCACUUGUCAGCCAGUCGGGACACGUGUCAAACGGCAACAACUUCGGAGGUGGUCAUUACCACGCGUCCGGUCACUAUUCGUUUUGCAAUAAAGAAGAAUAGCUGUCAAUCACAUCAUUCAUGCCAAUGUAAAGCCACGGGCAUUACCUUAAAUCCUGGGCCGUUCAAUUUCCGUCGCAGAAUCGUCUAUUAUUUCGCUUCUGAUUCUGGAAGUAGAUGUUAUGUCAGCAACGAGCCACCGACCUCUGCGCCCCGCCGCCUACAUUUGGAGAAGUUAUUCUUCACGCACACUCACAAUAACUACACAGGUCUUCUCCAUUUUCAGCUGUUGAUUCUAUUUUUCCCACUUUCUAACGGCUAAGAUCCUGUGGUGUUUAUAUUUAUAUUUAUUCUUUUUUGUUGUCAUUCUAGAAAAUCUAAUUUUGUUGGCAUUUAAUAAUUAAUUCCUU
RNAcentral lists this long non-coding RNA (1903 nucleotides) under Citrus x clementina. Its description in RNAcentral is "Citrus clementina (C. clementina) long non-coding RNA (CCLE_LNC006442)". Lineage: Eukaryota; Viridiplantae; Streptophyta; Magnoliopsida; Sapindales; Rutaceae. The record is from RNAcentral.